GCGGGAAUGGCGGAAUUGGCAGACGCGCACGGUUCAGGUCCGUGUGCUGGUAACAGCAUGCAGGUUCAAGUCCUGUUUCCCGCACCA
Molecule: transfer RNA, 87 nt
Filed under: Clostridia bacterium
Lineage: Bacteria; Bacillati; Bacillota; Clostridia
Also listed under: 1 other name
Description: tRNA-Leu
Rfam family: tRNA
About the family: Transfer RNA (tRNA) molecules are approximately 80 nucleotides in length. Their secondary structure includes four short double-helical elements and three loops (D, anti-codon, and T loops).
Source: RNAcentral